RNAcentral lists this unclassified non-coding RNA (327 nucleotides) under uncultured Ascomycota. RNAcentral describes it as "sequence contains ITS1". The stretch from base 1 to 105 matches the Rfam family "5.8S ribosomal RNA", at positions 50 to 154 of the family's 154-position model. Lineage: Eukaryota; Fungi; Ascomycota. The record is from RNAcentral.
GAAAUGCGAUAAGUAAUGUGAAUUGCAGAAUUCAGUGAAUCAUCGAAUCUUUGAACGCACAUUGCGCCCACUAGUAUUCUAGUGGGCAUGCCUGUUCGAGCGUCAUUUCAACCCUCAAGCCUUAGUUGCUUGGUGUUGGGAGCUUGUCUUGCCGGAAGGCGUGACAACUCCUUAAAACCAUUGGCGGAGUCGCGGUGACCCCAAGCGUAGUAAAUCUUUCUUUUUUUCCCUUCGCUUUAGGUGUCAACGCUGGCGUCUAGCCGUUAAAACACCCCUAAUUUUUUAGUGGUUGACCUCGGAUCAGGUAGGACUACCCGCUGAACUUAA